Molecule: ribosomal RNA, 497 nt
Filed under: uncultured bacterium
Lineage: Bacteria
Description: partial 16S ribosomal RNA
Rfam family: Bacterial small subunit ribosomal RNA
Source: RNAcentral
GAUGAACGCUGGCGGCGUGCCUAAUACAUGCAAGUCGAGCGAACAGAUAAGGAGCUUGCUCCUCUGACGUUAGCGGCGGGCGGGUGAGUAACACGUAGAUAACCUACCUAUAAGACUGGGAUAACUUCGGGAAACCAGAGCUAAUACCAGAUCAUAUAUUGAACCGCAUGGAUCAAUAGUGAGUGACGGCUUUGCUGUCACUUAUAGAUGGAUCCGCGCCGGAUUAGCUAGUUGGUAAGGUAACGGCUUACCAAGGCAACGAUGCGUAGCCGACCUGAGAGGGUGAUCGGCCACACUGGAACUGAGACACGGUCCAGACUCCUACGGGAGGCAGCAGUAGGGAAUCUUGCGCAAUGGGCGAAAGCUUGACGGAGCAACGCCGCGUGAGUGAUGAAGGUCUUCGGAUCGUAAAACUCUGUUAUUAGGGAAGAACAAAUGUGUAAGUAACUAUGCACGUCUUGACGGUACCUAAUCAGAAAGCCACGGCUAACUACGUG